Eptesicus fuscus (big brown bat) is the source of this 627-nucleotide long non-coding RNA. RefSeq lists it as uncharacterized. The record is from RefSeq and is a predicted model, not a curated record. The transcript has 4 exons. NCBI's taxonomy places the organism in Eukaryota, Metazoa, Chordata, Mammalia, Chiroptera, Vespertilionidae.
GCCAACUGUUACCAGGUGCCUGCCCAGAGCAGGCCCACUGCAAGGCCCACUGCUAAAAGAACAAACUUGGGCGCUUCGCAGAGGACUCUGGAACUCCCGGGUGCCUGUUACCCAAAGAGACUGGAGAGACAUCGGACUCAGCGCUCCCCAAGGGCCUUUCCACGGCUAACCUUUCAUUUUCUCAGCGAGCAUUUCCUAGCUCUUGGAGCCCAUCUUUGAUGAACACCUCUUCAGGCACAACACUGUGCCUGAUAUUCACUAACUCAGAUAAUCCGCGUAGAAUCUUCCCAACAGCUUCACAAGGAGUUGCAGAAACACAAUGAAGAGCCCCCCUCAGCCUGCCCCCGAGAGAAGAUGGUUUAAAACAUUCGCCUGCCCUUCCACGCACCCUUACCCCCAACCCAUGAACACAGAGUGUGAAUAAGAGAUCAUGCUUUUGGUGUCAUUUCUACAAACUCUUCAUCAAGCCCUACGUCCUACAGAUUUUCUCCUUUGAAACUACAACAGCACCUCCAUCCCAGCCUUCCUUACCAACCUUCUUGUUUUUCUUUGUCUCCGUAGCACUCCAUUAUACAUUUGAUUAUUUGUGUAUUGUCUGCCUUGCCCUGCUGGACUCGAAGUCCCACU